ACUUUGGGAGGCCGAGGCGGGUGGAUCACGAGGUCAAGAGAUCGAGACCAUCCUGGUCAACAUGGUGAAACCCCGUCUCUACUAAAAAUACAAAAAAUUAGCUGGGCAUGAUGGCGCGUGCCUGUAAUCCCAGCUACUCAGGAGGCUGAGGCAGGAGAAUUGCCUGGACCCAGGAGGCGGAGGUUGCGGUGAGCCAAGAUCGCGCCAUUGCACUCCAGCCUGGGAAACAAGAGCGAAACUCCGUCUCAAAAAAAAAGAAAGUCAGCAGAGAAAUCCAUACUGUUUCUACCACAUGCCAGGAAGUGUCAGCAACAUUGACAGGGCAGCUUAUGAAGCCAGGGGAAAAUUUCUCUCAAAUCCAAGUCUGUGAUUGAAAUUGGGCAUUCUACUCUUCUUGUAUUCAAGUGUCAUACAUCCAUUCAUACCCAUUCCAUGAAAAUAAACAAAGGUCUGGUUUACAAAAUUCUUUUAAAAAAAACCCUUCCACUUAUUCUAUGAAUAGCUAGACAGAUUACUUUCUAUAUUUCACUCUUAUGAAAAAUGAGAAUAUUUUUUCAUUCAGUUAAUAUCUACUCAGCCCAAUCUUAUGCCAGACUCUGCAUUAGGCACGAGAAGCACAAAAGGAAAUUGGACACUUCUUCCUGGUGGGUUCCAGCUGAGUGGAGGAUACUGGCAGGUAAAGGACGAAUUAGGCAAACACUUCACACUGUGGGAAACCAAAGAAGGGCAACAAACUCUCCCUCAGGAAGUUAGGAAAGGCUCCUAUGAUGGAUGUUGCCACCACCUCGGCCACCACCCUCCCUCGGAGGACUGAAGCACUUCCCCUCCAGCUGCCUCAUCAAGAUAAGGCUCCUUCCCAGGAGCAGACCACCUGGGAAAUCCUACCCAUUUGCCGCAGUUCAAGACAACUUUGCAGCAUAAUUGCAGCUUCCUGGCUCCCAGGAGGAUUGACUGAGGCCUUUGUUAGGUCUGCAUGAGCAGUUGGCAUUCCCCCUUCCAACCCAGGAGCAGGCAAACUGUGUGAAAAGGCUAGAGAGUAAACGUUUUAGGCUUUGCAGGCCACAUAGGUGAAUUUCUGUCUGGUUUUCUAUUUUUUUUUUUUACAACCCAUUGAAAAUGUAAAAACCGUUCUUUCUUAGCUCAGGGCCAAAUACAACCAGAUUUGCUUUGUGGAUUUCUGUUCCUCCCUAAAUGGCCUUCCUCGCCUGCCCUCCACAGCUGUUCAUCUCAAAGUGACUUCCCAAUAAUCAUCCUGCAAGUUAAUCUCUGUCUCAAGUCUACUUCCCGGGGAGCCUGAGGAUUACAGUUUGGCAAAGGAAGUACUUAGGACCCGCAGGUUUAACCAGGGUGCUGACAUUGAACUUUACCUAUGCCCUGUGGUCAGAAAAGUGUUUUUCCAGAAUUUCCCACCCUUUUUGUGUUCUGCUAAAGGGUUUACGGCAGCAUAAAGUACCUUUGUUUUGACAAAAUUCAUUUGUUUCAACAACGGAGACGUAGGUGAGACCAACAAUAACUUCUGCCCCUCUUUUGAUUCUGCUGAAGAAGCAUCUCUCCUCCCACCAGUCAGCCGUGGUCAUACGCGUGCCCGGCUGGUUUGCAGAAAACUAGCUUGACACCGAGAUAAACAUUCUUGUUCAUCUUGCCGGAAGAAUUCCAACCAGGACAACUUGAAUAAGGGCUGGGAAAGGCCGAGACCUCCUGAAGCAGGAAAUCUCCCUGACCCCACUGUGGAACUCACGCCCACAGCUCUCAACUCCUGGUAGGAGGGAGAAAGCAAGUCAACAAGGCGGGAACUGGAGUACCUGAGUGCUGGAAUUGGCCAGCCGCGUCAUCACCCACAAGAACUCCAUUCGCUCAGACCUGCUGCGAUCCACCCCCCUUGGGAGAGGGCACACUGGGAAAGACACGAAGGACAAGGAGAAGGAGGCUCAAACCAAGUCUGCCUAUUAUUAGGAUGAAAUGCAUGAUGUCGCUGACAUUCAACCUCUGCUGAGCUGCAGAAUCAACAGUUUCAUCAAGUUCAGCCUAUAAAGCCAAUGUUCAUUUCCCAUCACUUUUUCAGCUGUUUUAGACCAUGUUCCCACGGAGUUCUGCAGAAGCAUCUACACUGCUACUCAAGAAGAGAGACGGGCUGAUGCCAUGCGGGAGGCAAACCCUGUGAGUAGGGCUCUAGUUACUUGUCAUUGUUCCGACCAGAUAAGCUCUGUUUUUAUCUUUUUUAUGCAGUGGAGCUCCCAGUAAACCAUUGUGUAAAGAGAACGAGAAUUACACUCCUAAAUAUGACACUGAAAUAUCACAGCUAUAUUCCAGUAUCACAAAAAGAUAUUGAAAUUGUAUUAUUAAAAUGCAGAAGUGAUCUUUUCUAAUAUCCAUAAUUGACAGAAGAUGCUGAGACCCUGAAAGACUAAUGCUUUCCCCAGGGCCACAGUGUGACUCCUUGACAAAGCCACGAUGGAACCCAAGUCACUUCAAAUCCAGUGUUGUCUUCAGUAUACCAUUUGCGAAUAUCACCGCCUUAUAGUACUAGGACCCAAACCCUCCAUUUUCUAGGCUACACUUCUGUAGUUCCAUCGUAUACACUCAAGUGCUAUGCUCUCUAGACACCUCACCAUCCUCAUUUCCUCUACUUACGUUCCAAUUUCACAAGGUUCCUCCUAAUAAAAAGGACCCAGGAUUCUAUAUAACACAACCUGAUGUAUUCGGACCCUUUCUAAGUACAGUGAGAUGAUGCCUCAUUUUUUCUAGGCACAAACUUAUCUUUUCUGUCAUUUUAUGGUAGAAAUGCAAGUGUCAGAUGCUACUCUCAGGGCUGUCUCCAAACUUCUGUCACUUUAGGAAUUGAAUGGACAAAGGCUACGAAAUGCCACCUCAGAGUUAGUAAAAUAAAACCAUGAGAGCGAAAUAGAGCAUUCUGAUUAGAAAGUGAACUGUAUCAUCCUAACAAAGCUCUGUAGGGAGUCCCAGUUACCCUGCUAUAAAACACGGUUGAUCCAAGCAGCCUGCAAGACAGAAAUAGCAGGUCAUUUUCUUAAAAUAAGAAAACACUUCUUGUUUACUGCUUGUGAAAUAACUUCUUCAUGGGUGAAAAAAUUCUCUUAUCUUUAACUAACUAUCAGAAUGGAAGACAAUAAGUUGUAAAGUCAAAUUACAAAGUUUGUAUGACGUGCAGGUGAUGGAGAAAUCACCUGACUACAGAAACUUACCUCUUUGUGAGAACAUACUUUGUAAGUACUAAUGUCAAUAUUCUAAUGUAAGUCAAGGCCAGGAUAUCACUAACUGUCAGAAAGAAUGAGAAAAUUAUUCUAAAGCAUAAAAUAAUAAUGACUUUACAUAUAAUAUCCAGGCAGCUAUUAUAGCAAAUUUGAAGAUAAAUAUAUCCAAAUCUUAAAAAAAAAAAAAAAAGAUGCAAUAACAAGAAGGGCCCAAGCCAGAAAAUUUACUCAAAAAGAUAGAAAAAGAUUAUUUAAAGAUUUUUUAGAUAACUUGAAUAAUCUUUUAAUAAGAUCAUACAACACAAUAUACAGCAAGAUACAUUUCAGUAAGGAGUUUCAUCAAAUUACACACAUUUUCCCCUGCAAUUUGAUCAUGUGAUGAUAUGUCCUUAAACUUUUAACUAUUUUGAUGUUAUUUUGCCCAUAUGUGUAAAAUUGAGAUCAAACUGAUUUUUUCUCCUCCACCAAAAAUGCCAGUGCCAUCUGGGUGAAUACUCUUGCCUAUACAGUCUUUGUGUAGGUUUUCCUUCUGAUACAUACAUGAUACAUAUACUUGUGUCUGCUUCAUUACAUACACUCGUGUUUCUUCCAUUUUUAAAUUUUCUUUCCUUAAAUGCUUAUCACAUAAUCUCAAAAGUGUUGUGUUAGGACAUUGUCAUAACUCCUUUUAGUCAAAAAGUUCUUGACCAUUUCUGUGUGGUUAUUUUUCACUGGAUUUACUUUAGAAUUUCUGUCCCCCCUAAAAAUUUUUUUUUUACAAUUUGAUUGGAAUUCUGUUUAACUUAUCAAUUAAUUUGAGGAAAAUUGUUCAUUCUGACAUUCUGAACCCCUAUAAUUUUCAAGACAUUGUGCUAAGAACUUUACCAAAAUGUGUGACAAUGUAUUCACAAGCCCCAUGGGAAGUAUCACUGUAUCCCCACCACAUGGAUGGUAAAGUAGAGUCUUUAGAACUUUAAACAACUGCUAAGUAGAGGAGAGAGGAUCCCAGCCUGGGUCACUUUGAUUCCACACCCAUGAUCUUAAUUAUCAUCAUAUACUACCUUCUUAUCAAUUAUUAUAAUACAUCUCUCCAUCCAUUCAAGAACCCCUUCCUACAGAAAAGUAAAAUGUUAUAGGUUUUCUUAUGUGUCUUUACAUUUCAUGAGUUGACCUCUAAAUACAUUAUGAUUUUUUUCUUUUGCAACUGUGAAUAAGAUUGCCCUGUUGUUUUACCUAAUUGGGUACUACACUGAUAAUAAUUAUCAAUUUUGUAUCAUUUUAUUAAAUCCAGCCACUUUAAUGAAGUUACUCAGUUCUAGGCUAUCUAUAUUUUUAAAAUUACAUUAUCUGCAAUAGUGAUUGUCUCAGUCUUUCAAAACACUCUAGUUUUAUUGUUCCAUGUUCAAUUACAUUGGCCUUCUAGAAUACUAUAACAGUAAAUAAUAUAGUAUAAUAUAUACACUACAUAAUAUAGUAUAAUAAUAUAGUAUAAAUAAUUUAAUGGCAAUGAAAG
Callithrix jacchus (white-tufted-ear marmoset) is the source of this 4704-nucleotide non-coding RNA. NCBI's taxonomy places the organism in Eukaryota, Metazoa, Chordata, Mammalia, Primates, Cebidae. The record is from RefSeq and is a predicted model, not a curated record.